UCUGACUACAAUGCAAAAUUAAACUUUGUUCCGACUGAAGACACACACUUCUAUGAACUGCAUGCCACGUGCUUUGAGAGGUCUUGAUCUUCAACAAGGCGGUAACCUCCUCAGUCUUAUUCCUUGUGCUCCACAGGGUCCAGCAGAGGGCUUGUCAUAGCCACGCGGAGAGCACCAGUUACUGAAGACUUGGGAGAAGCUCUGCUAAAAAUAUACUGAGCUUGAUGCUUAAGAGAAACUGUGAAACAGCCGUUCCCCAGAGCAUCUGAGAUCUUGCUUCCCGGCAACUGUCAUCAGUGUUGGCUCAAACAAACUCUACACGUUCUCUACAGGUUUGGACAUUUCUCACAUCAACA
This is a long non-coding RNA of Eptesicus fuscus (big brown bat), 356 nucleotides long. RefSeq lists it as uncharacterized. NCBI's taxonomy places the organism in Eukaryota, Metazoa, Chordata, Mammalia, Chiroptera, Vespertilionidae. The record is from RefSeq and is a predicted model, not a curated record. The transcript has 3 exons.